UACGGGAGGCAGCAGUGGGGAAUAUUGCACAAUGGGCGAAAGCCUGAUGCAGCUAUGCCGCGUGUAUGAAGAAGGCCUUAGGGUUGUAAAGUACUUUCAUCGGGGAGGAAAAACAAAACUAAUAAUUUUAUUUCUUGACGUUACCCGAAAAAGAAGCACCGGCUAACUCCGUGCCAGCAGCCGCGGUAAUACGGAGGGUGCUAGCGUUAAUCAGAAUUACUGGGCGUAAAGAGCACGUAGGUGGUUUUUUAAGUCAGAUGUGAAAUCCCUGGGCUUAACCUAGGAACUGCAUUUUGAAACUGAAAUACUAGAGUAUCGUAGAGGGAGGUAGGAAUUCUAGGUGUAGCGGUGAAAUGCGUAGAUAUCUGGAGGAAUACCUGUGGCGAAAGCGGCCUCCUAAACGAAUACUGACACUGAGGUGCGAAAGCGUGGGGAGCAAACAGGGAUUAGAUACC
This 455-nucleotide ribosomal RNA is filed under the name uncultured bacterium. Its description in RNAcentral is "bacterial SSU rRNA". It matches the Rfam family "Bacterial small subunit ribosomal RNA", at positions 340 to 786 of the family's 1533-position model. The record is from RNAcentral.